UGAGGAAUAUUGCGCAAUGGGGGCAACCCUGACGCAGCGACGCCGCGUGAGUGAGGAAGGCCUUCGGGUCGUAAAGCUCUGUCAAGAGGGAAGAAGUGCAUGGUGGUUAAUAUCUGUCAUGUUUGACAGUACCUCUAAAGGAAGCACCGGCUAACUCCGUGCCAGCAGCCGCGGUAAUACGGAGGGUGCAAGCGUUGUUCGGAAUCACUGGGCGUAAAGGGCGCGCAGGCGGCCUGAUCAGUCAGAUGUGAAAGCCCACGGCUUAACUGUGGAAGUGCAUUUGAAACUGUCAGGCUUGAGUACCAGAGGGGAAAGUUGAAUUCCCGGUGUAGAGGUGAAAUUCGUAGAUAGCGGGAGGAAUACCGGUGGCGAAGGCGACUUUCUGGCUGGAUACUGACGCUGAGGCGCGAAAGCGUGGGGAGCAAACAG
Molecule: ribosomal RNA, 429 nt
Filed under: uncultured bacterium
Lineage: Bacteria
Description: bacterial SSU rRNA
Rfam family: Bacterial small subunit ribosomal RNA
Source: RNAcentral